UUUUUCUCUCAUUUUCCUUCAUUAAAACUAUUAACAAGUGAAGCUUUCCAGGAACGACGAGGAUCCAUUUGGUAUUUCAGAUUAAUUGUACUUGUUUCGUGGUACUCUUGUAAGUCCCCAUGCGUGUUCUCUCUGAAGUUUCCCCAUCAUUCCUUUGGUUUUCUCCUCUUGGCAUUUGCCCUGCUUUUUCCUUCCGGUUUUCCCAUAUUACUUCACCCUCAAUUCAUCUAUAUGCAGCUAUUAUAUUCCCCAAUUUCACUCUACUUUGAAAUCUGUUACUCUCUUCUAUUCUUUCACUUUAUCUUGUCCUAAUCGCGUUGUGGUUCAAUUUGCUUUCCUGUGGUUACUUCGACUAUUUUAGAUUUGUGGUGAGUUUCUUUCUAAACCGUUUCUCUUACUUGGUGUAUUAAUUUGCACAUGCAUGUAUCUAUAAUUAACCGUUGUUGACUAAUGUUAGCAUUUGAUUCUGAAACUUUUCUUCAUCUUCUGAAGUUAUUAAUGAUUUGUUCUCCGUUCUUGAUUUCUUUGUUUUCAAUUUUAGUGUCUUUGAUAUAUUGUGGCCACGCAUUCCUUUUUUCGUGGAAUGUGUAAAUGCAUGUGAUUCAUGUUCUGUGUUUUUGUUUAAUCAAUAAUUUCUUGUCAGCUUCUUUACACCUCUCUUCUAAAUCUACAUGUAUGAUUACAUAAUAGGAGUACCCUGAUGCUCAUAAAGUAUUUGAUAUAAUCUUUGUAGGAAAUAAGAUUUUACAUGACAUGCUCCUUCCGAAACAAGCAAUAUUUAAUUUCUAGAUUUGAGUUUCAUUAAUCUUUGCUAUUUAACAUUCAUCAAACAUGUUGCAGUAUUGAAGCAGCUAACUAAAUGGACCUGAUCAAUUCUUAUACUAGAGAUAUAAGACUAAUGAUAUAAUAGCUUUAUUAUUACUUACGCAACAGUUGUUGAAGACUCCAAUAGGUAAGAAUGAUUUAUAAAUAUUUUUUAAUUAACUUGAGGGUCAUGUGAAAACACUACAAAACUACAACCUUUAAGAGUGUCGUGACUCUUGAUAUUUUUCUUUGGGAGGAGUAUUGUGUAAAGAUAACAUUUCUGAUUCCAGACAAUUUAGAGAAAUUACUUUUCCUUAGAAGUAUGGGUUUGCUAAACAAUCAGAUAAUUUUACAUAAUCCAUAGAAGGUCCCAAAUAAGAUUAAGUUUGUUGAUACUGUCACAAUUGGAUUCUUAAUAAAUGAAGAAAUACAUUAUUUUUGAUCUGUAAAUGAACAUUCAUGUGUGUGGAAACGUUUGUUGUUAAAGGGUUACACGACUAGGAUAAGUGAGUUUACUGCUUUCACCCGGUGGAAAAUUAGUCCUUUUCUGUUUUGGUUUCUACCAGUUUGUUAGCUGUCAAUAUCUUGAUAUGUCAUCUCUGUUUUUCUGAUAACAUCUGCAUUUUGCACUCAAUGUGAUGUUCGAGAACAUUGACAAGAAACUAUUCUUUUUGGCAACCGUAUAUGCGAUCGGUUGCAAAUUUUCACUUUGUAAUGGAUUUCCUGGUGCGGUUAUACUGGGUAUGUUGUUGUUGGUGCGGUUAAAUAGUCUUUCCAUUGUUUUCAUUGACUGUAGUCCUUUGAGCAAUGAAAAGUUUUCUUUGAUAAUAUAAUAAUUCUUGGCCUUGCAGCUUGAAGAUGUGUGAUUAUCUUUUUUAAGCAAUCCUAUGGACAUCACAAUAGUGAGAAAUAUUCCUUUACUAAGGUUCCUUCAAUAUGGAGUUUGUACAACUUCCUGAUAGAUGCUUUACAAUUGUAGUACGAUAAAUUUGAAAACGUCCACCUUAAUCAGGGUAAAGAGUUAUAUCUGAAGGCUUUCUGGUUGCUCGCUUCCACUCAUUGUAUAAAUCUACCGAAGGGUCUGGAGUGCUCAAGUUAGGUCACCCGGGUCACAUUUGCUUAGUGUUGAGGUGGAUCCAACGGCUUUUUAAAAUUGAUGUUUUGAAGGCUUGCAAUAUCACUUGCACCCAAGCCCCGUUGUUGCAUUCCCAUCGCCACCAGCUAGACAGACCAAUACAGUUGGAGUCAAGCCACAACAGGAUGAAAACCAAAAAGGACUAUAAUAUGGAAGUAUGUUUGUCAAUUAACACUGUUAAAAUCUAGAUUUUAUACAAUUAUAGUAGUAACAAAUGAAUGCACAUGAUAUAUAUUAACAAAUGAAUGUACAUGAUAUAAAGCAUACUAUAUUAAUUUAAGUAUUUGCUUUGA
Long non-coding RNA from Lycium barbarum (goji berry), 2232 nucleotides. RefSeq lists it as uncharacterized. NCBI's taxonomy places the organism in Eukaryota, Viridiplantae, Streptophyta, Magnoliopsida, Solanales, Solanaceae. The record is from RefSeq and is a predicted model, not a curated record. The transcript has 2 exons.